Molecule: ribosomal RNA, 246 nt
Filed under: uncultured bacterium
Lineage: Bacteria
Description: partial 16S ribosomal RNA
Rfam family: Bacterial small subunit ribosomal RNA
Source: RNAcentral
UAACACGUGGGUAACCUGCCUUAUAGUGGGGGAUAGCCUUUCGAAAGGAAGAUUAAUACCGCAUAAGAUUGUAGUAUCGCAUGAUAUAGCAAUUAAAGGAGCAAUUCGCUACAAGAUGGACCCGCGUCGCAUUAGCUAGUUGGUGAGGUAAUGGCUCACCAAGGCGACGAUGCGUAGCCGACCUGAGAGGGUGAUCGGCCACAUUGGGACUGAGACACGGCCCAGACUCCUACGGGAGGCAGCAUG